This 650-nucleotide long non-coding RNA is filed under the name Capra hircus (goat). RNAcentral's name for it is "lncRNA (ENSCHIG00000004668.1)". The record is from RNAcentral. Lineage: Eukaryota; Metazoa; Chordata; Mammalia; Artiodactyla; Bovidae.
GCACAGAGGAUGUCUUGGUGAUCCUGUUCAUGAUUCCAAUUGUCUUGCUGUUCCCACUGUCUUCACUGUUCACUGAACCCAGAGUAGGCAAGGCAUGAGCUAAGAGCCUGGAAGGAGACCUGAGGAGCCAUAGGAACUGCAGAAUUAGAUCAGGAAUAUGGAAGACUAAAAUUCAAGAGUUUGGCAGCCAUGACUUCAUCUGGAAGGCAAACCAAACUUCAGAAAUUCAAAGGCAGAAGCAUUUAACUUUCAAAUGAGAUUACAUUACCAAAGGACAUGGUUAUAGCUUGGGCAGCAUUUACUGGAACUGAUCAUUAUGACACCCAUCCUCCUCUUCCUUACACCAAGUAGAGAGUAAGGAUGAAAAGAUCAACAGCAAAGAAAUUAAGAAAAUACAUUUUCUUCACAUACAUAACAAUAUAUACAUAAAGAAUCAAAUCAUAUUUAAAAUUUGCCAGUCUUUCAAUCCCCAUGGUAUUGUGGAGAAGCACUUUGAUGAACCUGACCUUGCUCUUCAAGUCUACACAAGAAUUAUGUCUGAGGCCCAUCUGAACAUCAGAAGAAAAUAGGCAGAUUCAUUCUAGAGAUGAGAAUUUACCUUGUAUCUGCCAUUUCUCCAUGGAACCAAUAAAACUAAAUCUGGAAUAACU